Molecule: ribosomal RNA, 605 nt
Filed under: uncultured bacterium
Lineage: Bacteria
Description: bacterial SSU rRNA
Rfam family: Bacterial small subunit ribosomal RNA
Source: RNAcentral
AUCUGAACCUUCGGGGAACGAUAACGGCGUCGAGCGGCGGACGGGUGAGUAAUGCCUAGGAAAUUGCCCUGAUGUGGGGGAUAACCAUUGGAAACGAUGGCUAAUACCGCAUGAUGCCUACGGGCCAAAGAGGGGGACCUUCGGGCCUCUCGCGUCAGGAUAUGCCUAGGUGGGAUUAGCUAGUUGGUGAGGUAAGGGCUCACCAAGGCGACGAUCCCUAGCUGGUCUGAGAGGAUGAUCAGCCACACUGGAACUGAGACACGGUCCAGACUCCUACGGGAGGCAGCAGUGGGGAAUAUUGCACAAUGGGCGCAAGCCUGAUGCAGCCAUGCCGCGUGUGUGAAGAAGGCCUUCGGGUUGUAAAGCACUUUCAGUCGUGAGGAAGGUAGUGUAGUUAAUAGCUGCAUUAUUUGACGUUAGCGACAGAAGAAGCACCGGCUAACUCCGUGCCAGCAGCCGCGGUAAUACGGAGGGUGCGAGCGUUAAUCGGAAUUACUGGGCGUAAAGCGCAUGCAGGUGGUUUGUUAAGUCAGAUGUGAAAGCCCGGGGCUCAACCUCGGAAUAUCAUUUGAAACUGGCAGACUAGAGUACUGUAGAGGGGGGUA